CCCUUAGAUGUUCUGGGCUGCACGCGCGCUACACUGAAGCGUUCAACGAGUAUUUCACCUUGCCCGGGAGGGUUGGGUAAUCUUUUUAAAACGCUUCGUGAUGGGGAUAGAUUAUUGCAAUUAUUAAUCUUCAACGAGGAAUUCCUAGUAAGCGCGAGUCAUCAGCUCGUGCUGAUUACGUCCCUGCCCUUUGUACACACCGCCCGUCGCUCCUACCGAUUGAGCGAUCCGGUGAAUAAUUCGGACUGCAGCAGUGCUUGGUCCUCCGGGCUUUGCAGCGGAAAGUUUAGUGAACCUUAUCACUUAGAGGAAGGAGAAGUCGUAACA
RNAcentral lists this ribosomal RNA (327 nucleotides) under uncultured eukaryote. RNAcentral describes it as "partial 18S ribosomal RNA". It matches the Rfam family "Eukaryotic small subunit ribosomal RNA", at positions 1470 to 1796 of the family's 1831-position model. The record is from RNAcentral.